GACGAACGCUGGCGGCGUGCCUAAUACAUGCAAGUCGAACGCUUUUUCUUUCACCGGAGCUUGCUCCACCGAAAGAAAAAGAGUGGCGAACGGGUGAGUAACACGUGGGUAACCUGCCCAUCAGAAGGGGAUAACACUUGGAAACAGGUGCUAAUACCGUAUAACACUAUUUUCCGCAUGGAAGAAAGUUGAAAGGCGCUUUUGCGUCACUGAUGGAUGGACCCGCGGUGCAUUAGCUAGUUGGUGAGGUAACGGCUCACCAAGGCAACGAUGCAUAGCCGACCUGAGAGGGUGAUCGGCCACACUGGGACUGAGACACGGCCCAGACUCCUACGGGAGGCAGCAGUAGGGAAUCUUCGGCAAUGGACGAAAGUCUGACCGAGCAACGCCGCGUGAGUGAAGAAGGUUUUCGGAUCGUAAAACUCUGUUGUUAGA
RNAcentral lists this ribosomal RNA (435 nucleotides) under Enterococcus casseliflavus. RNAcentral's name for it is "bacterial SSU rRNA". It matches the Rfam family "Bacterial small subunit ribosomal RNA", at positions 28 to 443 of the family's 1533-position model. Lineage: Bacteria; Bacillati; Bacillota; Bacilli; Lactobacillales; Enterococcaceae. The record is from RNAcentral.